CCAAGGAGUGCAACAUGUGCGCGAGCCCUUUGGCGAGCAAACCAGAAGGCGCAAUGAAAGUGAAGGCACGGUCGCCGUGCUGAGGUGAGAGCCGGCCCCGACGGGACGGCGCAUCAUCGACCGAUCCCAACCGCACUGCUCGCAGUGUGGCGGGAUUCGAGUGAGAGUGUACCUGUUGCGACCCGAAAGAUGGUGAACUAUGCCUGAAUAGGGUGAAGCCAGAGGAAACUCUGGUGGAGGCCCGUAGCGAUUCUGACGUGCAAAUCGAUCGUCAAAUUUGGGUAUAGGGGCGAAAGACUAAUCGAACCAUC
This 311-nucleotide ribosomal RNA is filed under the name Lamellodysidea chlorea. RNAcentral's name for it is "eukaryotic LSU rRNA". It matches the Rfam family "Eukaryotic large subunit ribosomal RNA", at positions 666 to 944 of the family's 3401-position model. Lineage: Eukaryota; Metazoa; Porifera; Demospongiae; Dictyoceratida; Dysideidae. The record is from RNAcentral.